Molecule: ribosomal RNA, 446 nt
Filed under: uncultured bacterium
Lineage: Bacteria
Description: partial 16S ribosomal RNA
Rfam family: Bacterial small subunit ribosomal RNA
Source: RNAcentral
CCCAGACUCCUACGGGAGGCAGCAGUGGGGGAUAUUGCACAAUGGGGGGAACCCUGAUGCAGCGACGCCGCGUGGGUGAAGGAGCGUUUCGGCGCGUAAAGCCCUAUCGGCAGGGAAGAAGGAGGACGGUACCUGACUAAGAAGCCCCGGCUAACUACGUGCCAGCAGCCGCGGUAAUACGUAGGGGGCAAGCGUUAUCCGGAUUUACUGGGUGUAAAGGGGGAGCGGACGGCAGCGCAAGCCAGGAGUGAAAGCCCGCGGCCCAACCGUGGGACUGCUCUGGAAACUGUGCGGCUUGAGUGCGGGAGGGGCAGGCGGAAUUCCUAGUGUAGCGGUGAAAUGCGUAGAUAUUAGGAGGAACACCGGCGGCGAAGGCGGCCUGCUGGACCGUAACUGACGUUGAGGCUCGAAAGCGUGGGGAGCAAACAGGAUUAGAUACCCCAGUA